This 269-nucleotide ribosomal RNA is filed under the name unidentified marine bacterioplankton. Its description in RNAcentral is "partial 16S ribosomal RNA". It matches the Rfam family "Bacterial small subunit ribosomal RNA", at positions 74 to 339 of the family's 1533-position model. The record is from RNAcentral.
AAGAGCUUGCUUUUCCGCUGACGACCGGCGCACGGGUGCAUAACACGUAUGCAACCUACCUCGUUACUGAAGGAUAGGCCCAGAGAAAUUUGGAUUAAUACUUCAUAACACCACAAGAUCGGCAUGAUCUCAUGGUUAAAGGUUACGGUAAGAGAUGGGCAUGCGUCCUAUUAGUUUGUUGGUGAGGUAAUGGCUCACCAAGACUACGAUAGGUAGGGGGUCUGAGAGGAUUAUCCCCCACACUGGUACUGAGACACGGACCAGACUCC